Molecule: transfer RNA, 59 nt
Filed under: Planctomycetes bacterium RIFCSPLOWO2_12_FULL_39_13
Lineage: Bacteria; Pseudomonadati; Planctomycetota
Description: tRNA-Ala
Rfam family: tRNA
About the family: Transfer RNA (tRNA) molecules are approximately 80 nucleotides in length. Their secondary structure includes four short double-helical elements and three loops (D, anti-codon, and T loops).
Source: RNAcentral
UAGCUCAGUCCGGGAGAGCGUCUCGUUCGCAACGAGAAGGUCGGGGGUUCGAUUCCCCU